RNAcentral lists this ribosomal RNA (570 nucleotides) under Triticum aestivum (bread wheat). Its description in RNAcentral is "partial small subunit ribosomal RNA". Lineage: Eukaryota; Viridiplantae; Streptophyta; Magnoliopsida; Poales; Poaceae. The record is from RNAcentral.
AUGUCGACUAGGGGUUUAGGAUUCUCUGACACUCUUAGUUUCGAUGGCACAAAUUUUGAUGUUUGGGUAAUUCGCAUGCUUAAUCUCUUUAGGGUCAUGGACCCAAAUUUAGAGCGAAUUGUAGAUAUGGGUUUUUCUCCUCCAAAGGAUCCACAAAGAUUAUCUUUAGAGGAUGAGAAAAACUCUUAUCUCAAUGCCCAAGCUUCUAAUGUGCUUUUUGAUGCUUUGAGCAAUGUAGUUAUAUUUCAACUCAUGCCGUUUCUGGAUGCUCAUGAGUUGUGGACAAAGCUUCAAGACAAAUAUGGCAUGUCCGAGAUUUGUGGAGAUGAUUGUCCUCCUUCCACCUCCGGUCGUAUAGUAUUCUCAACUUCUUCUACUUCACCUACAUGUGGUUUGCCACAAGGUAAUGAUAUGGUGAGUAGUGGUGUUCAUUGCAAUGAUUAUAGUGAGCUUAUUAUUGAUGAUCCUUCAUCACUUUAUUAUUGCAAUGCUUCACCUUUGGACUUUAACACUUCGAGCACUCUAAAUGUUUCACAUGCUUGUGUUAAAAGUUCUUGCAUAUCUUGUUGA